This 492-nucleotide ribosomal RNA is filed under the name uncultured bacterium. Its description in RNAcentral is "partial 16S ribosomal RNA". It matches the Rfam family "Bacterial small subunit ribosomal RNA", at positions 29 to 507 of the family's 1533-position model. The record is from RNAcentral.
AGUGAACGCUGGCGGUAGGCCUAACACAUGCAAGUCGAACGGCAGCACAGUAAGAGCUUGCUCUUACGGGUGGCGAGUGGCGGACGGGUGAGGAAUACAUCGGAAUCUACUUUUUCGUGGGGGAUAACGUAGGGAAACUUACGCUAAUACCGCAUACGACCUACGGGUGAAAGCAGGGGAUCUUCGGACCUUGCGCGAUUGAAUGAGCCGAUGUCGGAUUAGCUAGUUGGCGGGGUAAAGGCCCACCAAGGCGACGAUCCGUAGCUGGUCUGAGAGGAUGAUCAGCCACACUGGAACUGAGACACGGUCCAGACUAUUACGGGAGGCAGCAGUGGGGAAUAUUGGACAAUGGGCGCAAGCCUGAUCCAGCCAUACCGCGUGGGUGAAGAAGGCCUUCGGGUUGUAAAGCCCUUUUGUUGGGAAAGAAAAGCAGCAGGUUAAUACCCCGCUGUUCUGACGGUACCCAAAGAAUAAGCACCGGCUAACUUCGUG